UACAGAGGUCUCAACCGUUGUUCGGAUUCAUUGGGCGUAAAGGGUGCGUAGGCGGUCGCGUAAGUCAGGUGUGAAAUCCCGGGGCUCAACCCCGGAACUGCACUUGAUACUGCGUGGCUAGGGUACUGGAGAGGAGACUGGAAUUUACGGUGUAGCAGUGAAAUGCGUAGAUAUCGUAAGGAAGACCAGUGGCGAAGGCGAGUCUCUGGACAGUUACCGUCGCUGAGGCACGAAGGCCAGGGGAGCAAACGGG
Molecule: ribosomal RNA, 253 nt
Filed under: uncultured bacterium
Lineage: Bacteria
Description: partial 16S ribosomal RNA
Rfam family: Bacterial small subunit ribosomal RNA
Source: RNAcentral